GUAGUCCGCACCGUAAACGAUGGUCACUAGUCGUUGGAGGGUUCGACCCCUUCAGUGACGCAGCUAACGCAUUAAGUGACCCACCUGGGGAGUACGAUCGCAAGGUUGAAACUCAAAGGAAUUGACGGGGGCCCGCACAAGCGGUGGAGCAUGUGGUUUAAUUCGAUGCAACGCGAAGAACCUUACCUGGGCUCGAAGUGUAGUGUAAACUCAUGAAAGUGAGGUAUCCCUUCGGGGAGCGCUAUAUAGGUGCUGCAUGGCUGUCGUCAGCUCGUGUCGUGAGAUGUUGGGUUAAGUCCCGCAACGAGCGCAACCCUUGUCCUUAGUUGCCAUCAGGUAAAGCUGGGAACUCUAAGGAGACUGCCGACGUUAAGUCGGA
Molecule: ribosomal RNA, 379 nt
Filed under: uncultured bacterium
Lineage: Bacteria
Description: bacterial SSU rRNA
Rfam family: Bacterial small subunit ribosomal RNA
Source: RNAcentral